RNAcentral lists this ribosomal RNA (495 nucleotides) under uncultured bacterium. Its description in RNAcentral is "partial 16S ribosomal RNA". It matches the Rfam family "Bacterial small subunit ribosomal RNA", at positions 28 to 507 of the family's 1533-position model. The record is from RNAcentral.
GACGAACGCUGGCGGCGUGCCUAAUACAUGCAAGUAGAACGCUGAAGGAGGAGCUUGCUCUUCUGGAUGAGUUGCGAACGGGUGAGUAACGCGUAGGUAACCUGCCUGGUAGCGGGGGAUAACUAUUGGAAACGAUAGCUAAUACCGCAUAAGAGUAGAUGUUGCAUGACAUUUGCUUAAAAGGUGCAAUUGCAUCACUACCAGAUGGACCUGCGUUGUAUUAGCUAGUUGGUGGGGUAACGGCUCACCAAGGCGACGAUACAUAGCCGACCUGAGAGGGUGAUCGGCCACACUGGGACUGAGACACGGCCCAGACUCCUACGGGAGGCAGCAGAAGGGAAUCUUCGGCAAUGGACGGAAGUCUGACCGAGCAACGCCGCGUGAGUGAAGAAGGUUUUCGGAUCGUAAAGCUCUGUUGUAAGAGAAGAACGAGUGUGAGAGUGGAAAGUUCACAAUGUGACGGUAUCUUACCAGAAAGGGACGGCUAACUACGUG